RNAcentral lists this ribosomal RNA (253 nucleotides) under uncultured bacterium. RNAcentral describes it as "partial 16S ribosomal RNA". It matches the Rfam family "Bacterial small subunit ribosomal RNA", at positions 524 to 776 of the family's 1533-position model. The record is from RNAcentral.
UACAGAGGGUGCAAGCGUUGUUCGGAAUUAUUGGGCGUAAAGCGUGUGUAGGCGGCAUGGCAAGUCGGGUGUGAAAGCCCUCAGCUUAACUGAGGAAGUGCGCCCGAAACUGCUUUGCUUGAGUGCCGGAGAGGAUGGCGGAAUUCCCCAAGUAGAGGUGAAAUUCGUAGAUAUGGGGAGGAACACCGGUGGCGAAGGCGGCCAUCUGGACGGUAACUGACGCUGAGACGCGAAAGCGUGGGUAGCAAACAGG